Molecule: ribosomal RNA, 439 nt
Filed under: uncultured bacterium
Lineage: Bacteria
Description: partial 16S ribosomal RNA
Rfam family: Bacterial small subunit ribosomal RNA
Source: RNAcentral
CUACGGGCGGCACCAGUGGGGAAUAUUGGACAAUGGGGGAAACCCUGAUCCAGCCAUGCCGCGUGAAUGAUGAAGGCCUUCGGGUUGUAAAAUUCUUUUGGUGGGGACGAUGAUGACGGUACCCACAGAAUAAGCUCCGGCUAACUUCGUGCCAGCAGCCGCGGUAAUACGAAGGGGGCUAGCGUUGUUCGGAAUUACUGGGCGUAAAGGGCGCGUAGGCGGUUUGAUAAGUUGGGUGUGAAAGCCCAGGGCUCAACCCUGGAACUGCACUCAAGACUGUCAGACUUGAAUUCGGUAGAGGUUGGUGGAAUUCCCAGUGUAGAGGUGAAAUUCGUAGAUAUUGGGAAGAAUAUCCGUGGCGAAGGCGGCCAACUGGACCGACAUUGACGCUGAGGCGCGAAAGCGUGGGGAGCAAACAGGAUUAGAUACCCCCGUAGUC